AGAACGAACGCUGGCGGCAUGCCUAAUACAUGCAAGUCGAACGAACUCUUCGGAGUUAGUGGCGCACGGGUGCGUAACGCGUGGGAAUCUGCCCCUUGGUUCGGAAUAACAGUUGGAAACGACUGCUAAUACCGGAUGAUGACGAAAGCCCAAAGAUUUAUCGCCAAGGGAUGAGCCCGCGUAGGAUUAGCUAGUUGGUGAGGUAAAGGCUCACCAAGGCAACGAUCCUUAGCUGGUCUGAGAGGAUGAUCAGCCACACUGGGACUGAGACACGGCCCAGACUCCUACGGGAGGCAGCAGCAAGGAUUUCGCAAUGGGCGAAAGCCUGACGGAGCAACGCCGCGUGUGGGAUGACGCUUUCGGAGUGUAAACCACUGUUCGUGGGGACGAAGCACUGGACGUACCCACGGAGGAAGGCCCGGCUAACCUACGUGCCAGCAGCCGC
Molecule: ribosomal RNA, 445 nt
Filed under: uncultured soil bacterium
Lineage: Bacteria
Description: bacterial SSU rRNA
Rfam family: Bacterial small subunit ribosomal RNA
Source: RNAcentral